AGAGUUUGAUCCUGGCUCAGAACGAACGCUGGCGGCAGGCCUAACACAUGCAAGUCGAACGAUGCCUUCGGGCAUAGUGGCGCACGGGUGAGUAACACGUGGGAACAUACCUUUUGGUGGGGGAUAACUUCGGGAAACUGAAGCUAAUACCGCAUACGCCCCUUGGGGGAAAGAUUUAUCGCCGAAAGAUUGGCCCGCGUCCGAUUAGCUAGUUGGUGAGGUAAUGGCUCACCAAGGCUCCGAUCGGUAGCUGGUCUGAGAGGAUGACCAGCCACACUGGGACUGAGACACGGCCCAGACUCCUACGGGAGGCAGCAGUGGGGAAUAUUGGACAAUGGGCGCAAGCCUGAUCCAGCCAUGCCGCGUGAGUGAUGAAGGCCUUAGGGUUGUAAAGCUCUUCACCCACGACGAUGAUGACGGUAGUGAGAA
Molecule: ribosomal RNA, 429 nt
Filed under: uncultured Alphaproteobacteria bacterium
Lineage: Bacteria; Pseudomonadati; Pseudomonadota; Alphaproteobacteria
Description: bacterial SSU rRNA
Rfam family: Bacterial small subunit ribosomal RNA
Source: RNAcentral